This is a long non-coding RNA of Cydia amplana, 191 nucleotides long. RefSeq lists it as uncharacterized. Lineage: Eukaryota; Metazoa; Arthropoda; Insecta; Lepidoptera; Tortricidae. The transcript has 3 exons. The record is from RefSeq and is a predicted model, not a curated record.
GUUCGAUCAGAAACAGCGAAAUUUGGUCGGUUGCUCUUCUCGGCAUCAUGAGAAAAAUACUUUGUGUUUUAAUCCUUGGCCUCCUGGUAGUACAAAUUUGUGCUAGACCAGAGGACAAAGGCAAAGACUGUCCGCCGACUACCACGCCUAAACCGCACCACAAACACCGACAUGGACAAAGACAUGGUCAU